Small nucleolar RNA from Phacochoerus africanus (Common warthog), 132 nucleotides. RefSeq annotates it as small nucleolar RNA SNORA70. The record is from RefSeq and is a predicted model, not a curated record. Lineage: Eukaryota; Metazoa; Chordata; Mammalia; Artiodactyla; Suidae. The transcript has a single exon.
GGGCAGCCAAUUAAGCCAAACGUGCUCUUUUCUCCAUGAGGGCCCGGUGUGCAAAGGCUGCAAAAAACAGCCUCCUUGGUAGUGUAUUCAGCCUGUUGCCUUAGGUUGCCCUAAGGGAUCUUGGGGACAGCC